Molecule: long non-coding RNA, 918 nt
Filed under: Anser brachyrhynchus (Pink-footed goose)
Lineage: Eukaryota; Metazoa; Chordata; Aves; Anseriformes; Anatidae
Description: lncRNA (ENSABRG00000013773.1)
Source: RNAcentral
GGUUAACAGGUAUAGAUUCCUGGUAUUACAUGCAAGUAACUUUACAUUACUUCUUAUAAUAAAGUAACUACCUUGCCUGUGCUGCACAUUACGAAGUAUUUUGUUUUGAUUUACGUGGCUGGUUGGAAGUCUCUUUAUUACCUGAUUAUGUAUAAUGGACACUACAAAACGGAAUAAACAGAGCUAAUAAAUCAGAAAAUUAUGGGAAUGUUAUAAAUCUGAGUAGGUUCAUAUGUAAAAUAUUUAUAGGAUUCCAGCCAAUUAUUAAGCUAUGAAAGAGCCUAGACUAGUAAGCAUUGAGAUUCUGGGAUUUUAAUCUGGUUCAUCACAUCACACACUCUGGUGAGUGCUCUCAUCAGUAAUGUGAGUCACCAAAAAAAAAAAAAAAGGUGAAAUCAUAUGAUCAUUUUAAUGUGAGAUCACAAAUAUCUUUGUGGCAGCUUAAACAAAUCCGGGGGUAAACUAGCUCUUGCCAUAAAGAAUCACCUAGCCCUAGGAAUGCUCUCCUGUUUUGGCAUAGUGGUGAAACUAGGAUAUGUGGGACUGAUUGUCAGAAUGCAAGUGAAUGCCUGUGUGACAGUCAUUGCUGAGAAUUUAACCUUUGUAGUUGCUCCUUUCCUGCUGCUUUUCCCAAUGGCCUGCCUCAUCUUCACAGAAAUCUCUCUUGCCUCACUUGUCUGGAGCAUGUUGCCCUCCAGCACUUGUACUGAGCAGAAGUCACUCUGCAAGCCGCGGCUGGGUGUUGGCUAUCUGAAGGGUACGUGCAUAGCCUUUAUGCCACGGCUCCAGAUCUACGUGGGAAAAUCAGGGCUGCAAAUCUUUGAAGCCCUGAGGUGCCAUCCUUGCUCACUUCAUAAAUACACUUGAUGAUUAAGUAUCAUAAAAGAAAGCCUGACUUUUCCUACAGGAAAUUUUUUU